RNAcentral lists this ribosomal RNA (468 nucleotides) under uncultured bacterium. RNAcentral describes it as "partial 16S ribosomal RNA". It matches the Rfam family "Bacterial small subunit ribosomal RNA", at positions 28 to 507 of the family's 1533-position model. The record is from RNAcentral.
GACGAACGCUGGCGGCGUGCUUAACACAUGCAAGUCGAACGGAAAGGCCCUGCUUUUGUGGGGUGCUCGAGUGGCGAACGGGUGAGUAACACGUGAGUAACCUGCCCUUGACUUUGGGAUAACUUCAGGAAACUGGGGCUAAUACCGGAUAGGAGCUCCUGCUGCAUGGUGGGGGUUGGAAAGUUUCGGCGGUUUGGGAUGGACUCGCGGCUUAUCAGCUUGUUGGUGGGGUAGUGGCUUACCAAGGCUUUGACGGGUAGCCGGCCUGAGAGGGUGACCGGCCACAUUGGGACUGAGAUACGGGCCAGACUGCUACGGGAGGCAUCAGUGGGGAAUAGUGCACAAAGGGCGGAAGCCUGGUGCAGCAACGCCGCGUGCGGGAUGACGGCCUUCGGGUUGUAAACCGCUUCCGCCUGUGACGAAGCGUGAGUGACGGUAAUGGGUAAAGAAGCACCGGCUAACUACGUG